GGGACAAAGCCCGUAAUCCUACCA
Molecule: non-coding RNA, 24 nt
Filed under: Arabidopsis thaliana (thale cress)
Lineage: Eukaryota; Viridiplantae; Streptophyta; Magnoliopsida; Brassicales; Brassicaceae
Source: RNAcentral